This 408-nucleotide long non-coding RNA is filed under the name Monodelphis domestica (gray short-tailed opossum). Its description in RNAcentral is "lncRNA (ENSMODG00000036648.1)". The record is from RNAcentral. Lineage: Eukaryota; Metazoa; Chordata; Mammalia; Didelphimorphia; Didelphidae.
UAAUGUUUAUGAAAAUGACUCCACACAUGAGCAUUACCAGGGUUGCUAUUAUAGAGAUAAGACAACACCAGAGGACAACAAUCAAGAUGUCAAUCAAGAAAGAACAUUUCAAAUACAAUGUUCCCAGGAAUGUCAGGUGGAGCAUGGCCAGGGGAUGAACUGAGAGACUGCUUGAGCUUCUGACCAAGGGGAGACUGGCUUGGUUUCUGACCUAGGCUGAGGCUUUGGUGUGGCUGAUGUUGGUCAUUGAUUGUUAUAUACUGGGCUGAUUAGAAGAAGACAGAAGAAAGUCAAUUGUCCUUCAUAUCUCCUUGACAGACUUGUGUCACAGCUGUGACAGAACUGACAUUUCCCAAAAUCCUCCUAACCUUCCUUAGAGAUUAGGGAACACCUUAUCCCUCUCACCUC